UGCAGUGUAAAACCAGCUCGACUGACACCUUCCGCUUUGCUCUUAAGUUGACUAUCAAUAAAUGAACAUUACUAUUAGAACAUGCGCUGUGUUACAGUCCGAAGUAUCCGGACAUACCAUAGAUGAAUCAAUUCCAGUACCAAAGACUACGGAUGUUGUGUGAUUAUGGCGAUGAGUAGGGAUAUAGCUGUAAAGAAUAUGGAUAGAUACACUUGAACCGAUUUCAACAAAUUCAGGUUUAUGAAAAACAUUCAGGUUUUCCUCAACCAACGAGGAAGCUGUUUGCGGUAGCAUCACACGCUUGAUGUCCGGUUUCGGCUUCGACAUCGCUUUCACUCCCAGUUUGUAUUCUGAGAACUUACCCGAAAGCUCCACAUCAACAUAUUGCGCACGCUCACUGUUGAUCACCACCUUCACUAUCAGUGCACUCUCUUCAAACUUUUGCAGUGGAGUGUAUAUGCGAUAAGAAUACUCAAAGUCCUUCAGCUUUGCACGCAGAAUCACUUUCUCCAGCUCUUUCAAUGGUGUGGCGAGGUGGAACUUUACGUCAAAGUUUUGUGGAGACACGACCGCAUACAGUAGCUCUAUACCGAGUUCCGUCUUCGGUGUAAUUAUCUCCGCCACCAGGUGACGAUUCUUCUCACUGAUUCCGAACCGUCCAUUUAUGCUGCGAUAGUUGAUGUUGGACGAGGUUAUGUUUGCCGUCAACAUACAGUCCACCAGAUUGCGUAUGUGUCCCUCGAGCAGUAAAUCGUACGUAUUAUCAUCCAGCUGCAGAUCGGCGGCUCCUGUGAUGGUACGAUUUUCGCUCACGGAAACCUUCGCCACAAGCGCACCCAUUCGAUAGUUCUCAUAUGGGCUUAUCAAUCGAAGUGAUCCUGUUAUAUUGCUGUGCCGCUUAUCCGCUUUGUGCUGCCAGUUCGAGCGAACCGAAAACUCUUGCACAGGCUGAUCGGUAGUUUCGUAGUUUAGGAGGACAGUCGUCUCGACCCUAUCGGUUACUAAUGUCUGAUUAAAGUACAUCGUUACUGCAGGUAUAUUACGGAGGGAACUUUUCAACUGUGUGCCUAGCUCACAGUUGAAUAUCUCCUUAUUGGACCGGUACGUUCCAUUCAACUCAACUCCCAGACGCUGAUCCUCGGCCCAAUUUGCAAUAAGGUCUGUAUACAGCACGUUAUCCUUGAAAGAAAACG
Long non-coding RNA from Anopheles merus, 1193 nucleotides. RefSeq lists it as uncharacterized. The record is from RefSeq and is a predicted model, not a curated record. The transcript has 3 exons. NCBI's taxonomy places the organism in Eukaryota, Metazoa, Arthropoda, Insecta, Diptera, Culicidae.